GCAAGUCGAACGAGCGAGAGAGAGCUUGCUUUCUCGAGCGAGUGGCGAACGGGUGAGUAACGCGUGAGGAACCUGCCUCAAAGAGGGGGACAACAGUUGGAAACGACUGCUAAUACCGCAUAAGCCCACGACCCGGCAUCGGGUAGAGGGAAAAGGAGCAAUCCGCUUUGAGAUGGCCUCGCGUCCGAUUAGCUAGUUGGUGAGGUAACGGCCCACCAAGGCGACGAUCGGUAGCCGGACUGAGAGGUUGAACGGCCACAUUGGGACUGAGACACGGCCCAGACUCCUACGGGAGGCAGCAGUGGGGAAUAUUGCACAAUGGGGGAAACCCUGAUGCAGCGACGCCGCGUGGAGGAAGAAGGUCUUCGGAUUGUAAACUCCUGUUGUUGAGGAAGAUAAUGACGGUACUCAACAAGGGAGUGACGGCUAACUACGUGCCAGCAGCCGCGGUAAAACGUAGGUCACAAGCGUUGUCCGGAAUUACUGGGUGUAAAGGGAGCGCAGGCGGGAAGACAAGUUGGAAGUGAAAUCCAUGGGCUCAACCCAUGAACUGCUUUCAAAACUGUUUUUCUUGAGUAGUGCAGAGGUAGGCGGAAUUCCCGGUGUAGCGGUGGAAUGCGUAGAUAUCGGGAGGAACACCAGUGGCGAAGGCGGCCUACUGGGCACCAACUGACGCUGAGGCUCGAAAGUGUGGGUAGCAAACAGGAUUAGAUACCCUGGUAGUCCACACCGUAAACGAUGAUUACUAGGUGUUGGAGGAUUGACCCCUUCAGUGCCGCAGUUAACACAAUAAGUAAUCCACCUGGGGAGUACGACCGCAAGGUUGAAACUCAAAGGAAUUGACGGGGGCCCGCAC
Molecule: ribosomal RNA, 856 nt
Filed under: uncultured bacterium
Lineage: Bacteria
Description: bacterial SSU rRNA
Rfam family: Bacterial small subunit ribosomal RNA
Source: RNAcentral